RNAcentral lists this ribosomal RNA (253 nucleotides) under uncultured bacterium. RNAcentral's name for it is "partial 16S ribosomal RNA". It matches the Rfam family "Bacterial small subunit ribosomal RNA", at positions 524 to 776 of the family's 1533-position model. The record is from RNAcentral.
UACGGAGGGUGCAAGCGUUAUCCGGAUUCACUGGGUUUAAAGGGUGCGUAGGAGGGCAGGUAAGUCAGUGGUGAAAUCUUUGGGCUUAACCCGAAAACUGCCAUUGAUACUAUCUGUCUUGAAUCCCGUGGAGGUGAGCGGAAUAUGUCAUGUAGCGGUGAAAUGCUUAGAUAUGACAUAGAACACCAAUUGCGAAGGCAGCUUACUACAGGGACAUUGACACUGAGGCACGAAAGCGUGGGGAUCAAACAGG